CAAGUUAAUUGAUGGCACAGAGUCGCCGCGUUUUUUCCUGAACCAUUCAGCUUUCUUGUGUUUGAAUAGGAACAAAAUGGAAGUGUAUGAGCAAGGACGAACCAAUCCCAUCCCUUCAACAAAAGAGAAAAGGAGAAAAAAAGGAGAAGUAAAAAGAAAAUCAAGCACAGAGGAAUGGGGAUAGAAGAGUAGGUUUGAACAUCAAAUGAACACCCGGUGUCAAAAACACUCUACAUGCUAUCCUAUCCCCAAAUCAAUGCACCACAUGAAUGAUAACUUGUACAUAGUCCCCGAGAGUGAAACUGAACAUCGUUAACAUACCAUCCCAUCUUUAUGUUUGGGUCACAAAAACCCAAUACAUAUAUAUAACCUCCACACCCCACAUGGGAAUGAAUUUAAUUCAAAUCAUGACACAAGACACACAACUGAUUCAAAAAAAAAAAAAAAAAAAAAAAAAAAGCCCAGUUGCAUAUAUAUAUAUAUAUAUGUAUUGAUUCGCAUAGCUAGACAAGACUCAACUAACAACAGCCUUUUAGUCCUCCCUUCUCUCCAUCUACAUCUACAGGGCGGAAAAAGGUUCCAUUCAUUUUCGCAGUGUCUCUUCUGAAAUAUAUAAUUUGUAUUUGCAUUUUCCAAUUUGCGAUUUGGCUUGCAACCAAGUAUCUAGUUAGUUAAAUCUUUGAUAUCCCUUAUUUUCGCGUUAUAUAACAAGGAUUUUUAGUUACUUCCAUUGUUUAUUAUAUUUACACCCAGACAUUGACUGUGCCGCGGAUAAAUUUGAAGAUCUUCUUCUUCUCUCUUUUUUUUCCCAUUUAUUUAUUCAUUUAUUUGUUCAAUUUAUUUUUAUUUAAAUUUUUUGGCUUCCUUUUUUCUUUCCAAUUUUCUCUCCAUUUGCCCUCUUUCUUGUUUCCCCCCCCCCCUUUCGAACAAAACUUGCAUUUUUCAUGUAUAUGUAAAUAAAUACCUUUUUGCUUCAAAACCAUCCUCAAUACAAAACAAGAAAAAAAAAAGACCCAUCAUAGCUAGAUUUUCGAUUGUUGAAAAAAGAAAAGAAAAAAAGAAAAAAAAGGGAAGCUUGCAUUUAUGAAAUUACGACCAGUGAUGAUAAUAUUUUGUCGUGAGAUGGUUUACUCGAAGGAAAAGAGCAAGUUGGAGAGGAGAGAUCAAGCAAGAUAAGAAGGAGAUGAUUGGGUGAUAAUUUAAGUGUUCCGUAAAAACACAAGGGGAACUGAAGGAGAAAAAAGAGAAGAGAAGAGAAGAAAUGAAAAAAAAAAAAAAAACAGGUAGAUAUAUAUAUCACAGCUGCGCAUGUCCGGGGGGGGAAACGACCAAAAAAAAAAAGUCGACAAAUAACAUUUAUGUGUUGUUCUAAGGAGCAACCAGCCACCCAACCUUUUUUUUUUUCACUCCAACUCAUGCACAUUAGGCGGAGGCGAGGGCGGCGUGACAACGAAAUUCGUGCUAAGUGUUUUCUUCGCUGUCGCAUACGCCUUGGCCCGCGAGGGCUGGCAUUCCGUUGAAUCCAGCUCGACGGGCUGCGGGCCAGGCGCGGCCUCCUCGAAUGGGAAACAGCAGCCCAUCAUCACGGGCGAGACGGGGCUGUGCGUGCAGCACGGAUGAGGAGUCGUGGGACAGGAUACGGAGGCGGAGGCGGCGUCAACGUACCCGUGCGGGGGGGAGUCCACUGUACUCGUCGCGUGACAGCGGGUAUAUAUGGGGCUGGUGAAGUGGGUGCGGGGCGAGUGGACCACGCUCAUGCUCCGCGUGGGUUGGGCGGAGACGGCGUUGGAGCACAGCGGCAUGCAGGUGGGGGACACGAGCGAGCCGUCUGCGGCCGACCAGGCCUGGUUUGUGCAGAAGGAGCGGGAGCGCUGUUCGUCGGCGCCGAGGGUUGAGUAUAGCCGGUCUAUCUUCCCCUUGAGCAGGUCGGCCUUCAUGAUCAGCCGGUCCACCAGCACGGCGUGUGCGUCCUUCAGCGUCUUCUUGACAAAGCUGGCGGCGAAGGUGUUGCAUCGCAUGUCGACGUCUUCUCUGAGGAAGAGGCCUUCACGCGGCACGUUGGUGAGGCCCAGUUCGACCGGCUCCCGCGGCUCGCCCGGCAUGUUCCCGCACACCGUCCAUCGAUUCCGGAUGUCGAGGUUCGUGGGUGCGUAGAUGUGUGUUUGUAGGCCGCGUUGGAGGUCGUGGAAGCAGGCCUUGUAGGUGACGUUGCUCCGUAUUAUGCGGCCGGGGAGAUAGUGGAUGUUGUCUGUCAGCUCAUACCAGGUGCAGUGGAAUUCGUCUGGCGGGGCGCUUGGCGGGGCUUUGCAACGUUUAUGUCUGAUCACCAGCGGGUUCAGCUCUAUCAUCUCACUGUGGGCAUGGAGGGUCUUGAUGACGAGGUCCCGCGGGAUAUAGGAAGGGAGAGGAGUAACUGUCGUGAAGACGAUGCGUUUGAACAUGGCUGUGUUUUGUCUGUCAUUCGAUUGGAUGUUCUUUUCUUGAUAUGAAGGGCUGGAUGCAUGUAGCUUUGAAUCUAGUUUCUUGCAGUCUCCAUGUGCAAGCAUACACCCGGGGUAUAGAGGAGGCGUUUGAUAUGCUAAGAUGCCAGCGGGCCCUUGCGUGGUUCUAUAUACUUUUAGUGAAUAGAGCUGGCCAGAGCGGAGCAGUCAAGGGGCCUGCAAGUGAUAAAGGGGAAGUCAGGAGGCAAAAACUAAAUGGACGAAUCUUUUGGAGGGCAUCCUAUUACAGAGGCUUCGGGUUUGUUCCACGUCACAGAACCCGCCGCAGCCAGGAAACGG
Molecule: small RNA, 2780 nt
Filed under: Histoplasma capsulatum var. duboisii H88
Lineage: Eukaryota; Fungi; Ascomycota; Eurotiomycetes; Onygenales; Ajellomycetaceae
Description: Histoplasma capsulatum H88 hypothetical RNA
Source: RNAcentral